CGGACGGGUGGCCGAGUGGUCGAAGGCGCACGCCUGGAAAGUGUGUAGGCGGGGAACCGUCUCGUGGGUUCGAAUCCCAUCCCGUCCGCCA
Molecule: transfer RNA, 91 nt
Filed under: Rhodobacter capsulatus SB 1003
Lineage: Bacteria; Pseudomonadati; Pseudomonadota; Alphaproteobacteria; Rhodobacterales
Description: tRNA-Ser
Rfam family: tRNA
About the family: Transfer RNA (tRNA) molecules are approximately 80 nucleotides in length. Their secondary structure includes four short double-helical elements and three loops (D, anti-codon, and T loops).
Source: RNAcentral